This 288-nucleotide small RNA is filed under the name human gut metagenome. RNAcentral describes it as "5' ureB small RNA". It matches the Rfam family "5' ureB small RNA". RNAcentral also lists the same sequence under 1 other name. The record is from RNAcentral.
CUGCUGAGGGGAAGCAAAAUGCACAUGACCGUCAAUUCCCGCAGCCGUAAGAAUACAAUGUUCUCCCGAAAUGGCAUCGGUCGACGGACCUGUCACUAUGGUCGGAGUCACACCUUCCAUAACAUUGGGAUUACCGGCCUUGCCGAUACCCGAGAUUUUGCCGUCCUUAAUGCCGACAUCGGCUUUGAUCACACCGAGGACCGGAUCAAGGAUGGUCACGUUGGUGAUGACCAAGUCCACACUGCCGCAGUCCGAGGUACAUUCGUUGGCAAGUCCCAUGCCGUCACG